AAGUAGGUGCAACACUGCUCCUGGUAGCUGGCUGGAAUUCCAAGACUGUGGGCUUUAUCUUGUGAGAUGUUGUGGAAAUGAGGCCCGCAGAUCAUCACUGCUCAGCCCACUGAAUUCAGCCUCUUUCGUAGUGCACAAUGCUGCAGUUCAUUUCACAGCUGAGAAAACCAGGAGCCAGACAGAAUAAGGGACAGCCAAAUUUAUUGAGACUCUGGACAAAUAUGAUGCCAAAUGCAGCUGCUCUUGGAACUCACGGCUUCCCAAACCUCAGGAGACACAGCCAGGCAGUGGAAGGAAGCAGGUUUCUUCCUAAUUCAGUUUCCUGAGUGUGAUAUCCAGGGAGCAUAAACACUAUUUGAAGUGUAUCCCUCCAGAAAUCUAAACUCAUCUUUAACCUGAUUGUAAAAUACUUCCGAGUUCCAGAUCCCUAUCCUUGUUGACCUGAGUCGUUGAAAACAGACUGGCCUAUUUACU
This 474-nucleotide long non-coding RNA is filed under the name Homo sapiens (human). RNAcentral describes it as "HSALNT0064676". Lineage: Eukaryota; Metazoa; Chordata; Mammalia; Primates; Hominidae. The record is from RNAcentral.